UAGAUCCUACCACAAGUAGAGAUUGAAUAUAUUUUUUUAAAUUGUCAAACUCAGUGCAAUCUUGGCUUUGCCGUGAAAUCAAAACACUUGCGUCGAUGCCUUUUCAAAAACGAACCUGUGUAAGGCAUUCUUAAAAGGACAGCAUCAUCCAAUAAGUUGACACACAGCUCUCUGAUUUCAUUCCACAUCUCUUGUACUAUCGCUUGUCUGUCAUCAUGGCUCCAACCACAAUUAAUUGCAUUACGAAUAAGAUUACCAAAGGUUCGGCUGAGAUAAAUUCUGAUGCAAUAUAGAAGAUGUUUGACAGGACUUCAAUUGCCAUUCCCCUAUGUUCGUUGGAUGACAGGUGCUUAAAGUAUGUUAUGACAGGUUUGCUGUCAACACAGUGAAGACACAGCAAAAAGGCCGCCGCUGAUCGAGUUGGCCAUAAGGUCGGUAACCCUAGAAGUACAAUGUAAGAGAACCAUUCAACAUAAUUACUUUGAAUCUAAGGCUACCUGUCAGGGAUUGGAUUACAUCCACCACUUCCUGGGGUUGGAGAGGCGCAUACAGUAGAAGAAGUAGCUUAGCUAAAUCCUGGGGAUCCGUCAAUUCUGGGCAAUCAAAGACGAUUCCUAUCCACAUUGACCUGUCACAGGGUGCAGCGAAAUCCAAGAAAAGUGAACGCAGAUAUAUUCGCAGACUUCUUUCAACGUUUGCGUUUGUAGAAAUAGGAUUUUUCAUGUAGUCGGCCAGCUAAAAUAAAAAACAGCUUAAGAAAUUUUAAUUCAAAACAUCAAGGGAAUUUUUAGAAGACCGUUGAGCCAAUAUUGUUCCAUUGGCAUAAAAGAG
Molecule: long non-coding RNA, 831 nt
Organism: Daphnia carinata
Lineage: Eukaryota; Metazoa; Arthropoda; Branchiopoda; Diplostraca; Daphniidae
Exons: 4
Source: RefSeq, a predicted model, not a curated record